Molecule: long non-coding RNA, 658 nt
Organism: Astyanax mexicanus (Mexican tetra)
Lineage: Eukaryota; Metazoa; Chordata; Actinopteri; Characiformes; Acestrorhamphidae
Exons: 2
Source: RefSeq, a predicted model, not a curated record
GUAACCAACGAAUCCACCCCCCUCCCCCUCCCCCCUCCCUGCACGUGCCUUUACCACAGAGCAACGAUCGAGCUUAAAGGCAAAGUCAGUGAGUGACUUUGGUCUGUCAAAGUGACUGAAAGAGGCCGUGAGAAGAUCAAUCAUGCCACCACCAAAGGAUGCAGAGAUCGAGCAGGUUGCAAAGGUUUGGCUUUGGAAUGCACGGGACCGUUCAGGUGGACGGAAGCAUCGUCUCAUGCAGUCUCUUCCAAAAAAAUAGUUAAUUUAUGAUCUAUGCUAUAUUAAUGCAUAAACAAUAUUCCUUUUUGAUAUUAUGAUUAACUAUAUCUGUUCUAUUUAUGUAAAGUACAUCUAUUUUCUCCUUCAUUAUUAUUGCUGUGAGAUAAAAACCUUAAUGCAAAAACUAAUGUUAUAUUCAAUUAGAUUUUUUUUUACUGGUUUGAUUGGGAUGACAUUUUGGUUCCAAGUCUACAAGCAAGAGGAAUAAAAUUAAUAAUAGAGAUCAGGGGUGGGUUUCCUGAAAGCUUCGUUACGCUAAGAACUUCGUUAACUCGUACUUAAGAUUGAUCGUUAAUUAAAGAGUGUUUCCCAAACCCGUGCGUAACUAAAGUACUACUGUGGUGGAAAAUAAUGACAGGAAGAAAGAAAUUUUCAGAGU